UGUUGGAAAAUUAUAUAGAAUUUUGUGCACUAGGAUUUUCAGUUGGUUGAAAUUUAUUUCUGCAGAGGACUGCUGAGGUGGUCAUUUUAGAUGUUAUCCCCAAGCCUCUCAAGGUCGUUAGGGCUCCUGAGAUCAUUUCCUGCACUUGCUAGCUGUCUCCGGUCCUGUUCAGGCCUCCAGUGCCUGCUUUUAUUUAUCGAGUUUCAUCUUCGAUCCAAAAAGUCAUCAGAUUGAUGGAGUGCUGGCGGUCAACCCUUGUGUAGCCUAAGGGCAUUCUGGAGGAAUAUUUUCCCACCAUGAAUUUCUUCUGGUGGACUAUGUGGAGGGAAGGGUCGUCAGAGCUGAGAAAAUGAGCUCUCUCAAGUUCCAGCUGGUAAGGAAAUCAGAAUAGUAAUUGUCCACAUUUAAUAGGUUAGACCACAUUCACUUUUCUAAUGAUGUCUUGUUUUCCUUUUCAGCUGACUGGGAAUUAAAACUAGAACUAUAACUAUAAUUAAAAUUACAAUUAGGGGGCCGGUUUGUCCGGCAACUCAAAUUUUACCACAAGCGUCGAAUGGUGCGAUAGCUUGUUUCCGGGGUCGAGCCUAUUCCAGGUGAAGAAGAUGCUCUCAACUUGCUGAUGCGUCGGUUGCGGUGGUGCUUCAUUGUGGCACAGCGCCUGGGGCGACCAGCUUCAGUUUGCAGAAGGAGGGCUUACACAUUGUAUUAGCGGUAACUUCUGGCUUGAAGGUUGGUGUCAUUUUUCUUUCUUCCUGGAAGGCAAGAUUAUUUAGUUUAGUUAAGAAGAAUUCCUAUUAUCUAUGUUGGCACUGAUAACUAGGGACUAACAGAACUUAGGAACGCUUGUAAAUCAUUUAGAAUUUGAACUAUUGCACGGCCCAGCUCUACCGUCUGGCAAUACAUAUUAAGGUGCUAGCUUAAGCUUAGAAUAAUGAUUUACUGGCUAUAACUUGCUUUGUGUCCGUUAGACAAUAAAAUAGUGUGUCACAA
Long non-coding RNA from Leguminivora glycinivorella, 990 nucleotides. RefSeq lists it as uncharacterized. The transcript has 2 exons. The record is from RefSeq and is a predicted model, not a curated record. Lineage: Eukaryota; Metazoa; Arthropoda; Insecta; Lepidoptera; Tortricidae.